Molecule: long non-coding RNA, 1138 nt
Organism: Ruditapes philippinarum (Manila clam)
Lineage: Eukaryota; Metazoa; Mollusca; Bivalvia; Venerida; Veneridae
Exons: 6
Source: RefSeq, a predicted model, not a curated record
UAAACUGGAAAGUAGAAAAACAUGGGAUUAAAAGUAGUAUUAAAAUGCCAAUUUCAAUAAAUUUCAGUAAUUGGAGGCAAUUGCAAAACAGGCAACACAUGCCCUGGUGAUGCAAAUGCUGAGUGCAAAAGUGGAAAAUGUGCUUGCAAAACAGGCCAUGAAGAGAAGGAUAACGUUUGUACAAAGGUAAUUGGAGGUAAUUGUAAAACAGGCAACACAUGCCCUGGUGAUGCAAAUGCUGAGUGCAAAAGUGGCAAAUGUGCUUGCAAAGCAGGCUAUGAAGAGAAGGAUAUCGUUUGUACAAAGAUAAUCGGAGGAAAUUGCAAUGCAGGCAGUACUUGUCCUGGUGAUGCAAAUGCCGUGUGUACAAGUGGCAAAUGUGUUUGCAAAGCGGGAUACGAAGACAAAGAUAGCGUUUGUACAAAAACUGUAGCGGGGUAUGAUUGCUCAUCAGAUAAAACAGUCUGUGACUCUAUUCAAAAUGCUGCCUGUGAUACAAACACUGGUAAAUGUAAAUGCAACCCUAAUUACAUGAUGCAUGCUGACAAAUGUGAACCGAAGAACUCUGCUACAAUGAUGGAAAUCUGCACUAUCUCACUAUUGCUAUCUGUGUUGACCACAUGCCUUAUUGUCUAGAUCUAAAGGAAUAAAAAAUAAUUGCCCUUACAGAAAUCUUGGAUCAUUGUGUAAAAGUAUCAACAAUCACAAAGACUGUAUUUUAUUUAUUUAUUUGUAGAUAUACACUGUAGUGUUACGUUAUGAUGUGCUGAAGCUUAAAAUUCAAUAUAGUUUUAGGCAAAUUUCAGUUGUUAAGGAUAUGCUGUGUAGAAAAACAUCUUCUUAUGAUGGCAAAAGUAUACAAGUUGACUUGUAAAACUUUCCAAGAUCAAAAGGAAAAAAAUAUUCUAAUCACAAUACCCAUACACAUUGAAUUGUAUAGGCUUGCUAUAAAUAAAACAGUGUUUCCAUUUUUACACUGAGAAAAAAAUCCUUUUAUCGCAGUUCAGUAUCUAUGUUGUUUGACUUUGAAUUUAUCUUAUCACUUGUUAUCUGUACACAUAUUUUCUCAUCAAAGAAUUGAUAAAAUAAUUUGAAUAAUUUAUCUCUUUUACAUUUUCAAGCAAACGCCAUAUCAUGU